AAAACAUUUGCCUGGCUCUGAAAAGAUUAUUCAUCAUUUAUUCUAUCGCUUUUUCAUGCAUGACCGUGGCAUCUGUCCCAGAAGAGUGAUACCAUUAAAUAUGUAACGUCUCGGUUGUGUUUCUAUGGAAACAGUAUCACGCUCUUGCUUUGCUGUUGAUCAACAUGGAGUUUAUGGGAAGCAGUUAUCAUGGAGAUUACAAUAAUGGCAGGAUGGAGGGGACGGGUGAAUACACACUUCCCACUCACACCAGAUAUGUCGGAGAAAUGAAAGACGGCAUGUUCCAUGGAAAAGGAGUGCUCCAUUUCCCCAAUGGAAGCAAAUAUGAGGGAACUUGGGAGAAAGGAAUAUGCAAAGAGGGAAAGUACACAUUUUCUGAUGGCCUUGAGUAUAAAGAGACAGACUGGGAUUACUGUGAUGGCAAGGACAGGCGUUUCUACUCUGAGAGGUGUAAUGGCCUCAAACCAGCAGGAGAAUCCCAGGUAAUUGAUCGGGACCCCCCGCGGGCCAUCCCUGAUGGUUGCUAUGACAGCGGCGAUGGCUUUUAUGAUCCCAGCACUAGAGUCGUCAAAGAUUAUGAUGGCAAUUUUCUCAGGAACGCAGACGACCAGGAACACGAGUGGAUCGUGCGGACCUGCAGGAAGAGCUGGGAUGAGUUCACUGGCCACUGUCCAAGAGGCAACACACUGGAGGAGAAACAUCACAUUUGGGUGACCAAAGAGGGUUCCAGUGUUGAGAGGACUAGAAGAAACUAAUGGUCUGCAGAUGGCCAGGCACGGCCCUUUUUUGGCCUGAAUCUGAGCCCCCCUUCACCACUACACCUCUGUCAUUGGGAGCUCUUGUGUAAACAAAGUGUCACACACAGCCUCCUCCGACUGCAAAGAAACACGGGAUAUCGAGAUAGCUAUGUUUCCCCCGUAUACGCUACUGAAGAAUGAUGACACCGGCCCCAAAAGUCCCGCAGUGGGGCCCUCGGGGCGUUCAUCCACUGGAAAUGACAUCAUAGCCCACCAGGGAGCCCCACGGGGCUCAACAACCAGGAAACUUGGACCGGCACUUGUGUAUCAUAACUCGCUGGGGAAAAUUCCUGCAGCCGCAAAGCGUUUCCCUCAGCACCGGAGAAAUUCACCUUUGGCUGGAAAAGAGAAGCUUGUGGAAGUACAAAUUCGGUAGAUUAAAUUUGAUAUACUCUCAGAGUAUUAUAAUCUGGGGGAAAUCUCCCUCUCAGAGACUGCUGAGACAUAUUAGUGGUGUUUGCUACGGCGAGCAUCGCUUUUACUAUUGCUCUUGGCGGAUCGUGAGUAUUUAAUUUUGGUAUGUACCUCAUCCCAUUCCAUUGCUUGUGCUACUAUAGUAUUUGCAUAAUACUGCAAAUCUUACAACUUUUUGAGGUGUGCUUUUCUAUUCUUUAGCACUUGCAUCGACGAAACCUGGUGGACGAUAAAUUGUCUGAGAUACAUGGUAGACAUAUGUCAGCCAUAUCUACAAUGCAUAAUAGAGACUUAUAUCUAUAAAGAAAAUUGUCAUCAUUUACUCUUCUUGUUGUUGCGAAUUUGAAGAUAUUUUGGAGAAUGGGUCUGACCAAACAGUUGCUGGUAGCCGCUGACCUCCACGGUAUUUUUUCAUACUACGAAAGUCAAUGGCUACCAGCGACUGUUUGGUUAUCAGCAUUCUUCAAAAUAUCCUCUUUUGUGUUCAAUAUUAAAAGAAAUUCAUGCAGGUCCCAUUAUCGCAGUUGAAAGUGUCUACUUCCGUACUAUAUAGUAUGCGAAAGACAGUACAUGAAAAAAGUAGUACGUCCAAAUUUAUAGUAUGCGAUUUGUUUGCUUUUUUGCAUUUAUUUGCAUACUACAUUGUGAUUGAUCCAAACCUAUAUGAAUUUCUUUCUUCUGUUGAAGACAAAAGAAAAUAUUUUGAAGAAUGUGUCUACCAAACAGUUGCUGGUACCUAUUGACUUCCACAGUAAUUUUUUCAUACUGCGAAAGUCAAUGGCUACCGUCAACAGUUUGGUUAUCAAGAUUCUUCAAAAUAUCUUUUUUUUGUGUUCAAUACUUUACACUUUAACCCAUUCGAAAAUUCCUACUUCCAUACUAUAUAGAAUGCGAAAAACAGUAGUAGUACGUCCAAAUUUAUAGUAUUCAAAAAAACAGGCGAAAAGUAACUAGAUGACGUAGUACUUCCGGCAAAUUUCUGGAUUGCGCAUUUAAUUACUCUUUACUAUCCCAUGAGGCCACGGGACAGGAUUUGUGGAUGGCAGUGAAGCGACGCGACUGACGUCGUAGGUCACAUGACAGUAACAACACGUCAGAUGUAGUGCGUCCAAAUUUUAAUCAUAUAAAACAUACUUUUUAUGGUCACAAAGUAUCAAACCAAAUGUAGUAACUACUAGAUCAGUUUGCGAUUUCGGACAACCUAACAACACCUUAGCACCCAUCCACAGACAAAAUAUUAUUCUCUUUAUUUUUUAUUCUCAAACGUAUCCAUAUGUUGAUGCAAUUUUUUCCUCUGUUAACCAGAAAAAAAACACAUUUCAUUUUGUCAUCAUAAUUUCAGUCACUCAUAUAAUUUCCAGCAAGUUAUGAGUUACACAAGCUCUGUUUACUUCUGUUUGCAUUUAAACACAAGGAGUCCUGUACGCACAUAUGGCCAUUUCAGUACGUCACCUCCUCCAAAUCUAGCGAUCUCAGCUCUGCACAAACCCACUCGGGUUACCGCCUUACUCCAUCACCCUGUCCUUAUCCUUUGGUUCCUCUGAUUAACAGCCUCCUCUGACUUCCUGUGUGGCCUGAUGCUCGUGCCUUUGUGGCUGUUUCUUUUUAGUGUAGGUACAGUCUCCACUCUGACCCUUACCGCCAGAUCUGCCUCCCCCCCUCAGACACACACAGCAAACCCACUUUGAUUUCCUGUAAUUACACUCUAUUAGAGCAGCUGUCAAUCUGGCCCAGAUGAGAGACCAACACAAACGAAACAUAUCUCCUUAUGUUUUGUUUUCCUUUUUGCAAGAAAUCAAUGGAGAUCCUUUUCCUUUCAGGCAUAUGAUGACCAUCCUAUGGUGUUGUGCAGCACCAGCAAAUAAUCCAACCGCCAGAGACGAACAUGGCAUUGCAUUCAUAAGCUUGUGCUACAGGUCACAAGUCUACUUAUUAUGUCAAUGGACAAAGAAAACAAAUAAUUGACAUCUAAACUUAAAACCAGUUCAUGGAUAAAUUUAUAUGUCCAGUUAUAUAAAUACACACUCUUAAAAAUGAAGGUUGCAAAAUGGGUUUUUGCAGCAAUGCCAUAAAAUAACCAUUUUUGGUUCCUCAAAGAACCUAUCAGCGAACCAGUUUUCUCAGUGUGAAGAACAUUUAAAAAAUCGAAAGAACCUUUUUCCACUAUAAAGAACUUUUUGUGGAAUGGAAAGAUUCCAUGAAUGUUAAAGGUUCUUUAUGGAACCAUCGAUGCCAAUAAAGAACUUAAGAGUGUGGAGAUAAAUGUACAGAAUUUUUUAUGUCAAAUGCUGCAUUCUGCUAACUGCUAGUGGUUAUGAUCUCAAUCUCUUUAUAUGAAAUAUAAAAAAGGUGAAAUCCGCUUAUACUAAGAAACACUUCUAUUUGCAGAAGACUUGACAAAAGAGAUGUUUCAAUGCCACUGGAGAAAAACACAUGUUCAGUGUACUUCAGAUCACUGAACUCGUCUCCACAAGCAUGGAGCCAUUGCUGUCUCUUUUUCAAGGCAAACGUGAGUCAAUCAGUAUUUCGCUUCUGGGGAUGUUCCUGUGAUUCCAUGUCAAAAAACGUUAACCGUAUAUCUGAUUGCGUUUCCUGAUUAUCUCAGAUAAUUAGGGGGAAAAAACUUCAAUCUGAGGCUGUAUUUUAUUAUGCCAAAUCCAACAUAAACCCCCGUGGUUGCUGUUUUGACAUACUGAACUGCAGAGGAACAAAAAUACAUUAACAUUUUAUAUCCAUAAAAUAAAAUGCUGCUUUAUUUUAUUUUAUUUUAUUUUUUACUAAAUACAAUUUUAUAUGUAUAGCUAUUUUAAACGUCUGAAAAAUUGGAUACUGGAAUUUGCAUUUAUUUUAUUCAUCUGAAUUUAACUACUUUAUUAAUUUUCUACAAGCUACAAAUCACAUGAAAAUCACACUUUAAGUUUCAAGAUCAGUUAGACGAAAUGUGAAUAUUUUAGCAUAUUUAAUGCUAAUAAAAUAAUACACAUUAAACCACUUGGAAGAAUUUGUAAAGUCCUUGUCUUUUUCAUUUAACUGCCAUCAACAAACAUUUCUCAAAGCAUUUCAUCAUUUCAGAUUUCUAUUGUACUAAACCACAACUCGCCAUCUUCAGAAUAUGGUUUCAUCCAUAAUAAAAUCUAUAACAUAAUCCCCUAUAAAGUCUAUUUUGUGUAGUUUUUUGCAUUCCUUUCAGAGUUUCCUCUUGUAAGCACACUCGUGGAUAAACAGCCUGAGAGAUCCUGAUGCCCUAGACUCAACACAACCAGUGAAGAUCAAGGCAUUGAUGCACCAUCUCGUGGAGCAUCUCUUCAGAUUAUUGGCCUUAACGUAGAAAACAAACCCUCUCCUGCAACACAGCAUUGACUUUAAAGGGGCCAGUCAUUCACAUUGACGGGCAAUAAGCAGGGAA
Molecule: RNA transcript, 4617 nt
Organism: Onychostoma macrolepis
Lineage: Eukaryota; Metazoa; Chordata; Actinopteri; Cypriniformes; Cyprinidae
Gene: morn5
Gene name: MORN repeat containing 5
Exons: 7
Source: RefSeq, a predicted model, not a curated record